Molecule: transfer RNA, 48 nt
Filed under: Shigella sp.
Lineage: Bacteria; Pseudomonadati; Pseudomonadota; Gammaproteobacteria; Enterobacterales; Enterobacteriaceae
Description: tRNA-Ala
Source: RNAcentral
GGGGCUAUAGCUCAGCUGGGAGAGCGCUUGCAUGGCAUGCAAGAGGUC